Molecule: long non-coding RNA, 532 nt
Organism: Magnolia sinica
Lineage: Eukaryota; Viridiplantae; Streptophyta; Magnoliopsida; Magnoliales; Magnoliaceae
Exons: 2
Source: RefSeq, a predicted model, not a curated record
UCAUUUUAUAUUUUUUUAUAAUUUUUUUCUAUUUACGCACUAUUUUCGGCCCUUGUUUUUUUUAAAUUCGAAAAAUCAAUUUUUAUAGAAUGUUUUGCUGUUUUAAUGAUAGAAUAUGAUGUGUUAAUCAUAGUAGAACACGUUAAUGUGCAUUUUACAGAUUGUUGAUGUCAUUUUAUAUUUUUUUAUAAUUUUUUCUAUUUGCGCACUAUUUUCGGCUCUUUUUUAAAAAUUCGAAAAAUCAAAUUUUAUUAAAUGUUUUGCUGUUUUAAUGGUAGAAUAUGAUGUGUUAAUCAUAGUAGAACAUGUUAAUGUGCAUUUUAUAGAUUGUUAAAAUUAAAUAUAUGAAUUUUGUAGUCAAAUUCAGGUUAUCUAGUUCAUAAAUUCAUCAGACAGUCCGAUACAACUUCUCACCAAAGAGUGGACCGUUACACCACCAUAAACAUGUUCCAAUUUAUAAAUGAAUGCAUAUUUGGAAUGCUUAGAAUAUUCCGGAUUUAAUCCAUAUUUUUAAAUAUUUUUUUGGCAAAAA